This 23-nucleotide small nuclear RNA is filed under the name Arabidopsis thaliana (thale cress). Its description in RNAcentral is "snRNA_11695". Lineage: Eukaryota; Viridiplantae; Streptophyta; Magnoliopsida; Brassicales; Brassicaceae. The record is from RNAcentral.
AUAUUAGUAGGUCUCUAAUGCUU